AUUGAACGCUGGCGGCAUGCUUUACACAUGCAAGUCGAACGGUAACAGGCCUUCGGGUGCUGACGAGUGGCGAACGGGUGAGUAAUGCAUCGGAACGUGCCCAGAGGUGGGGGAUAACGCAGCGAAAGCUGUGCUAAUACCGCAUGUGAUCUGAGGAUGAAAGCGGGGGACCAAGCAGCAAUGUUUGGCCUCGCGCCUCUGGAGCGGCCGAUGUCAGAUUAGGUAGUUGGUGGGGUAAAGGCCUACCAAGCCGACGAUCUGUAGCUGGUCUGAGAGGACGACCAGCCACACUGGGACUGAGACACGGCCCAGACUCCUACGGGAGGCAGCAGUGGGGAAUUUUGGACAAUGGGCGCAAGCCUGAUCCAGCAACGCCGCGUGCGGGAAGAAGGCCUUCGGGUUGUAAACCGCUUUUGUACGGAACGAAAAGGCUCUGGCUAAUACCUGGGGCUGAUGACGGUACCAUAAGAAUAAGCACCGGCUAACUACGUG
RNAcentral lists this ribosomal RNA (492 nucleotides) under uncultured bacterium. Its description in RNAcentral is "partial 16S ribosomal RNA". It matches the Rfam family "Bacterial small subunit ribosomal RNA", at positions 30 to 507 of the family's 1533-position model. The record is from RNAcentral.